AUGAGGAUAGCAGAGGGAAGAAGGCCCAAGCCGUCCAGGCACGAUCUCGCUUUGACUGAUGCGUGCCUAGGAGCCAUCAUCAUGGAGGAACAACAAACUUCGCUUGCUACCAUUAAGAUAUUUCAGCUCAGUGUGGACUGUACACCACAAGAGUUCUCAGCUUUCCUAGACCUGAGGAGAGGUUACUGUCGUCAUGUCGCAGCAUAUCAAUUUUUCAACCGGGUUGUGGUGACUCCGCCUAUGACCACGUCCACAUUCAACAUGGUGGAGUUGAUGGAUUCCACAAAGAAUCCUCCAGAGUCCAUGGUUCAACUCAUCUUCCCUGACAACAGCUUCUACUUUGAGCUGUUUCGGGCAACACCACCUGGAGAUCGAUAUGGAGAAGGAGGAUUCCUUAGGUUCAACAAAGUUAAAACGAAAUUCCCUAAGUAUUUUGGAAGCAUUCAUCCACUGCUACAUUACUCAGAGAAAUAUGAUUCAGUGGAGGCUAUCUCAAUAUUCAAAGGUGUCAUUAGGGUGAUGGCAGAGAAACUGCAAACAUUCAAUAGCAAAAGCGCGAGGACUUUCGAUAAAAACCUUGUUGUCUUUACUCAGACGCCAUUUUUCCUCUUCGGGGAAUGCCAAAGGUUCCUUGAAGCGGAAGAGUUUACUGUUGAGAACCUUGAUAGCAUGUUCCCAGUAUUCCUUACAGUAAGACAUGAGAACUUCAUACACAUCUGGUCGAGGCUGUCAAAGCUAGGUUUCGCUUUUAUCGUUGCUAUACUAGAGUUUGACAAGAACAUCCAUAACCGCCGAUUUAGCUUUGAAGAAGCUGUAAAACUACUGCGCGAAAUCUUGAAGGAUUACGAGGGAAAACUGGAGCUGAACUUCCGUGCAGACGAUGGUCACUUCAGCCUGAGAAGGAUACUGGGGCACUACCUUAAACUACUGAAGUUUGAACAGGAGUAUGUGAUCAAGAUGAUCAUGAGAAGCCGCCAUGAUGUCUGGUCUUCUUAUCUUGAGCGCAGAUCCAAUGAGGAAGCCAGAAUGCAGCAAGAGAGGGAGACAGCUGCAUGGACCAAACCUGAGGAUGGAGAGAUCUGGAAGCACUGGACGGAAAUUCAGGCAAGAGGGGACAAAGUCAUGGACGUUCUGAUGAACUAA
Molecule: ribosomal RNA, 1143 nt
Filed under: Triticum aestivum (bread wheat)
Lineage: Eukaryota; Viridiplantae; Streptophyta; Magnoliopsida; Poales; Poaceae
Description: partial small subunit ribosomal RNA
Source: RNAcentral